RNAcentral lists this ribosomal RNA (397 nucleotides) under uncultured bacterium. RNAcentral's name for it is "partial 16S ribosomal RNA". It matches the Rfam family "Bacterial small subunit ribosomal RNA", at positions 523 to 918 of the family's 1533-position model. The record is from RNAcentral.
AGACGAACUGUCCAAACGUUAUUCGGAAUCACUGGGCUUAAAGGGUGCGUAGGCGGACCUGCAAGUGGGCCCUGAAAUCCCUCGGCUUAACCGAGGAACUGGGUCCCAAACUGCCGGACUAGAGUGAGACAGGGGUAAGUGGAACUUGCGGUGGAGCGGUGAAAUGCUUUGAUAUCGCAAGGAACACCGGUGGCGAAGGCGACUUACUGGGUCUUAACUGACGCUGAAGCACGAAAGCCAGGGUAGCGAACGGGAUUAGAUACCCCGGUAGUCCUGGCUGUAAACUCUGAGUACUUGGUCGGAGGGGCCUACAUACCUUUCCGGCCGUAGCGAAAGUUUUAAGUACUCCGCCUGGGGAGUAUGGUCGCAAGGCUGAAACUUAAAGGAAUUGACGGGG